CGUGUAGGCGGUUGGGCAAGUCAGAUGUGAAAGCCUUCCGCUCAACGGAAGAAGGGCAUUUGAAACUACCCGGCUGGAGUACGGGAGAGGAGAGUGGAAUUCCCGGUGUAGAGGUGAAAUUCGUAGAUAUCGGGAGGAACACCAGUGGCGAAGGCGGCUCUCUGGUCCGAUACUGACGCUGAGACGCGAAAGCGUGGGGAGCAAACAGGAUUAGAUACCCUGGUAGUCCACGCCGUAAACGAUGGGCACUAGGUGUAGGAGGUAUUGACCCCUUCUGUGCCGAAGCUAACGCAUUAAGUGCCCCGCCUGGGGAUACGGCCGCAAGGCUAAAA
RNAcentral lists this ribosomal RNA (332 nucleotides) under uncultured bacterium. Its description in RNAcentral is "bacterial SSU rRNA". It matches the Rfam family "Bacterial small subunit ribosomal RNA", at positions 568 to 899 of the family's 1533-position model. The record is from RNAcentral.